AGAGUUUGAUCAUGGCUCAGAACGAACGCUGGCGGCAGGCCUCAAACAUGCAAGUCUAGGGGACGUAGCAAUACGUCACCGGCGGACGGGUGCGUAACACGUGGGAACAUACCUUUCGGUACGGAACAACUGAGGGAAACUUCAGCUAAUACCGUAUACGCCCGUAAGGGGAAAGAAUUUCGCCGAAAGAUUGGCCCGCGUUCGAUUAGCUAGUUGGUGAGGUAAUGGCUCACCAAGGCUCCGAUCGAUAGCUGUUCUGAGAGGAAGAUCAGCCACACUGGGACUGAGACACGGCCCAGACUCCUACGGGAGGCAGCAGUUGGGAAUCUUGGACAAUGGGGGAAACCCUGAUCCAGCCAUGCCGCGUGAGUGAUGAAGGCCUUCGGGUUGUAAAGCUCUUUUACCCGGGAAGAUAAUGACUGUACCGGGAGAAUAAGCUCCGGCUAACUUCGUGCCAGCAGCCGCGGUAAUACGAAGGGGGCUAGCGUUGUUCGGAAUUACUGGGCGUAAAGCGCGCGCAGGCGGCUUCUCAAGUCAGUGGUGAAAGCCCGGAGCUCAACUCCGGAAAUGCCAUUGAAACUGUGAAGCUUGAGGACGAGAGAGGUGAGUGGAAUUCCCAGUGUAGAGGUGAAAUUCGUAGAUAUUGGGAAGAACACCGGUGGCGAAGGCGGCUCACUGGCUCGUUUCUGACGCUCAGGCGCGACAGCGUGGGGAUCAAACAGGAUUAGAUACCCUGGUAGUCCACGCCGUAAACGAUGAGUGCUAGCCGUUGGGCAGCUUGCUGUUCAGUGGCGCAGCUAACGCAUUAAGCACUCCGCCUGGGGAGUACGGCCGCAAGGCUGAAACUCAAAGGAAUUGACGGGGGCCCGCACAAGCGGUGGAGCAUGUGGUUUAAUUCGACGCAACGCGCAGAACCUUACCAGGGUUUGCCAUCCUGCGACCGCUCCUU
Molecule: ribosomal RNA, 949 nt
Filed under: uncultured bacterium
Lineage: Bacteria
Description: bacterial SSU rRNA
Rfam family: Bacterial small subunit ribosomal RNA
Source: RNAcentral